RNAcentral lists this ribosomal RNA (253 nucleotides) under uncultured bacterium. RNAcentral's name for it is "partial 16S ribosomal RNA". It matches the Rfam family "Bacterial small subunit ribosomal RNA", at positions 524 to 776 of the family's 1533-position model. The record is from RNAcentral.
UACGGAGGGUGCAAGCGUUAUCCGGAUUCACUGGGUUUAAAGGGCGCGUAGGCGGGUGUGCAAGUCUGUGGUGAAAGCCUCCAGCUUAACUGGAGAAGUGCCAUGGAUACUGCACAUCUUGAGGAGGGUAGGGGCAUCUGGAACGGUCGGUGGAGCGGUGAAAUGCGUUGAUAUCGACCGGAACUCCGGUGGCGAAGGCGAGGUGCUGGACCCUUUCUGACGCUGAGGCGCGAAAGCCAGGGGAGCAAACGGG